RNAcentral lists this long non-coding RNA (471 nucleotides) under Elaeis guineensis (African oil palm). RNAcentral's name for it is "long non-coding RNA (EGUI_LNC064715)". The record is from RNAcentral. Lineage: Eukaryota; Viridiplantae; Streptophyta; Magnoliopsida; Arecales; Arecaceae.
UGUCAGGCUCUACUUUCCUAUCAGAGAGGGGUACCUUACUAGGGCUGAUUGGUGACCAGGUUGAAGCUGAAGCUGAACCAGGAGCAAGGUUUGAAGCAGAAGUGGUCUCGAUUGCUAGUCUCUUUCGACGCACACUUUCCUCCAACCCUCGGAUGGAUUUCCUCCUCUGUGGAAGCUUCAUCUUGGGAGCCAUUUGCACAGGCAGGACUAACAUGGAACUUAGGAGAGCAAAUGUGAGGAAGAGAUGAAGGCUUUUUAGUGAAAAGAUAAGGAUUUUGGAGAAGUGAUGUGCCGAUUUGGAGAAGACGGGUAGAGUUUAGGGUAAUCUCAAAUCGCUCCAAAUGAAGAAGGAAAAGGGGAGGAACUUGGUUCCUAAGUGGGCGAUUUGGAGUGUGAGAGUCGGUGGGAGAGGAGUUUUGAGGGAAAACUUGGGUUUGAGGAAGAAGAGAGGGAGACCUUUGGUUCGGCGGA